Long non-coding RNA from Sapajus apella (tufted capuchin), 163 nucleotides. RefSeq lists it as uncharacterized. The record is from RefSeq and is a predicted model, not a curated record. The transcript has 3 exons. Lineage: Eukaryota; Metazoa; Chordata; Mammalia; Primates; Cebidae.
AUUACUCACAGACCAAAGUAGGAGCUAUUAUUAGCCCAUUUUACAGAAAGGAAAACAGACUCCCUCAAUAAUACUCUGCCUCACAACAAUCAUAUAAAAACCAUCAUAGGUUUUUACGUGAUUGGGAAGGGGAAACUCAGCUCCUACUUUAUGUUCAUGCCAC